Molecule: ribosomal RNA, 126 nt
Filed under: Scabiosa webbiana
Lineage: Eukaryota; Viridiplantae; Streptophyta; Magnoliopsida; Dipsacales; Caprifoliaceae
Description: 5.8S ribosomal RNA
Rfam family: 5.8S ribosomal RNA
About the family: 5.8S ribosomal RNA (5.8S rRNA) is a component of the large subunit of the eukaryotic ribosome. It is transcribed by RNA polymerase I as part of the 45S precursor that also contains 18S and 28S rRNA. Functionally, it is thought that 5.8S rRNA may be involved in ribosome translocation.
Source: RNAcentral
CGAUGAAGAACGUAGCGAAAUGCGAUACUUGGUGUGAAUUGCAGAAUCCCGUGAAUCAUCGAGUCUUUGAACGCAAGUUGCGCCCGAAGCCAUUAGGCCGAGGGCACGUCUGCCUGGGCGUCACGC